RNAcentral lists this ribosomal RNA (836 nucleotides) under uncultured Bacteroides sp. RNAcentral describes it as "bacterial SSU rRNA". It matches the Rfam family "Bacterial small subunit ribosomal RNA", at positions 338 to 1177 of the family's 1533-position model. The record is from RNAcentral. Lineage: Bacteria; Pseudomonadati; Bacteroidota; Bacteroidia; Bacteroidales; Bacteroidaceae.
CCUACGGGAGGCAGCAGUGAGGAAUAUUGGUCAAUGGGCGCAGGCCUGAACCAGCCAAGUAGCGUGAAGGAUGACUGCCCUAUGGGUUGUAAACUUCUUUUAUAAAGGAAUAAAGUCGGGUAUGUAUACCCGUUUGCAUGUACUUUAUGAAUAAGGAUCGGCUAACUCCGUGCCAGCAGCCGCGGUAAUACGGAGGAUCCGAGCGUUAUCCGGAUUUAUUGGGUUUAAAGGGAGCGUAGAUGGAUGUUUAAGUCAGUUGUGAAAGUUUGCGGCUCAACCGUAAAAUUGCAGUUGAUACUGGAUAUCUUGAGUGCAGUUGAGGCAGGCGGAAUUCGUGGUGUAGCGGUGAAAUGCUUAGAUAUCACGAAGAACUCCGAUUGCGAAGGCAGCCUGCUAAGCUGCAACUGACAUUGAGGCUCGAAAGUGUGGGUAUCAAACAGGAUUAGAUACCCUGGUAGUCCACACGGUAAACGAUGAAUACUCGCUGUUUGCGAUAUACAGCAAGCGGCCAAGCGAAAGCGUUAAGUAUUCCACCUGGGGAGUACGCCGGCAACGGUGAAACUCAAAGGAAUUGACGGGGGCCCGCACAAGCGGAGGAACAUGUGGUUUAAUUCGAUGAUACGCGAGGAACCUUACCCGGGCUUAAAUUGCAGAUGAAUUACGGUGAAAGCCGUAAGCCGCAAGGCAUCUGUGAAGGUGCUGCAUGGUUGUCGUCAGCUCGUGCCGUGAGGUGUCGGCUUAAGUGCCAUAACGAGCGCAACCCUUGUUGUCAGUUACUAACAGGUUUCGCUGAGGACUCUGACAAGACUGCCAUCGUAAGAUGUGAGGAAGGUGGA